UACGGGACGCAGCAGUGGGGGAAUUUUGGACAAUGGGGAAACUCCUGAUCCAGCCAUCCCGCGUGUGCGAUGAAGGCCGGGCUGUAAAGCACUUUUGGCAGGAAAGAAACGGCACGACACACCGCGCAACUGAUUUGCACUGCAGAAUAAGCACCACAACUAUGCCAGCAGCCGCGGUAAUACGUAGGGUGCAAGCGUUAAUCGGAAUUACUGGGCGUAAAGCGUGCGCAGGCGGUUCGGAAAGAAAGAUGUGAAAUCCCAGAGCUUAACUUUGGAACUGCAUUUUUAACUACCGAGCUAGAGUGUGUCAGAGGGAGGUGGAAUUCCGCGUGUAGCAGUGAAAUGCGUAGAUAUGCGGAGGAACACCGAUGGCGAAGGCAGCCUCCUGGGAUAAGACGCUCAUGCACGGAAAGUGGGGAGCAAACAGGAUUAGAUAAUUCGUGUAGU
Molecule: unclassified non-coding RNA, 447 nt
Filed under: uncultured Bordetella sp.
Lineage: Bacteria; Pseudomonadati; Pseudomonadota; Betaproteobacteria; Burkholderiales; Alcaligenaceae
Description: partial 16S-23S ribosomal RNA intergenic spacer
Rfam family: Bacterial small subunit ribosomal RNA
Source: RNAcentral